Long non-coding RNA from Hirundo rustica (Barn swallow), 1476 nucleotides. RefSeq lists it as uncharacterized. NCBI's taxonomy places the organism in Eukaryota, Metazoa, Chordata, Aves, Passeriformes, Hirundinidae. The transcript is spliced from 3 exons. The record is from RefSeq and is a predicted model, not a curated record.
UGUUUUGUUUUUGUUUUUGUUGUUUUGUUUUUGGCAGGCAAACUUAUCCCAAACCUCUUGUUCUGAGUGAAGCUAAAGAGGAGUUGCUGAUCUACAGACUACCUCAGGUCCUUCGGUUGCACCUUAAACGCUUCAGGUAUUAAACGUGGAACCUUACUGCUGCAGGGACUCUCUGCCCUCCCUUGCCACAGAGACCUUUGUCUGUGACCCCUCAGCUGUGGCGAUGCAUCACGGGAAGGGCUUUGGCUCAGGACGCUGCACAGCCUAUUGCUACAACACAGAGGGAGGUUUUUGGGUGCACUGCAAUGACUCCAAACUGAAUGUGUGUAGUGUGGAGGAGGUGUGCAAGACCCAGGCCUACAUCCUCUUCCACACUCGGAGAACGCUGCAGGACAAAGCAGGAAUCCCAGAAAAACAACUCCAAGCUCAGGUUUUUGCCACCCAAAACCAGUGACAAGGACACAAGACUGACAUUGCCAUGAGGGGACAUUCCCAGCUUCUUUUGGGGAACUUUUGGUGUUCAUCUUCCCCUUCUUUGCAGGGAAAACUGCAGGAAUGGGAUCAGGGCAGGAAGGGGAUCAGGGUAGGGACGGGAUCAGGGCAGGAAGGGGAUCAGGGUAGGGACGGGAUCAGGGCAGAGAUCAGGGCAGGGACGGGAUCCGGGCAGGGAUGGGAUCAGGGCAGGAAAGGGAUCGGGGCACGGAUCAUGGCAGGGACGGGAUCACAGCAGGGAUGGGAUCAGGGCAAGAUAUUUGGAAAACCUUCUGGAGCUGGGCAGUUCCGAUUUGGGGCAGAAUCUUGGGGUUUGAGUGUCUUUUCAGCUCAAAAAAAAAAUGAAACUAUAAAGUUUGAUGCUGUUCAUUCAUCCCCUAUCAAAGAGGAAUGAGCCCAAGCUGGCAAUGGGAGAAUCCAGCUGGAUCAACACCCUUCAAUCCCUAAAAAUCCUGAUCCAGCUCCAACUCCAAGAGGAACAGGUACAGUACCCUUGAGUGGUCUGGUAAAUCCCAGGGAAACUCCCAGAGCUGUUCCUGCUGGAAAAAAAUGUUUAAAUUCUUCUCAGUUCCUCCUCUGCUGCCCCUGAUAGCGAUUUCUGCGCCCCGGGUGAAGCUUUGCCAGCAGCUCUGUGUGGCUGCGGCACUGCGGCUGUGCCACAUUCCAGGAUUUGCUCAGGGCUGAUCUAGCUGGCAGCUAAAUUCCCUCAGAAACGGGAUUUUCAUGGAGUUCUGCUGUGGAGAAAAUGGGUCGUAGCCCUCGAAAAGUUGGGUUUGACACACCAAAAAUGGGUUUUAAACCCCCCCCCGAAAUGGGUUUUAACCUCCAUAAAUGUGUUUAAGCACAGAAAAAAUGUGUUCUACCACACAAAAAAUGUAGUUUAACCCCCAGAAAUGUGUUUUAACACACAUCAAGUGGGUUUUAACACAUAAAGUGUUUGAACCCCCGAAAAUGGGGUUUAACACACAAAAAAUGCAUUUUUAU